CAGACGCCAGCCGGCACAAUGACUUCCAGCUGGAGCAGCCAAGCCUGCCUGAGCGCUCUCUCGCUCGCGCUGAGUUUAAGAUCUCGGGGCUGCAUUUUUGGAUGUAAGUCCACAACUGAGAACUAAGCGAAACCCACCCAUGGAUAGCAUAAAUCUGCAUUGUUGAAGCUGCUCAUCUGCAGGAUCAAUGAGCCCAGAUGAUGCAAACUCCCAGCUCUUGCAAAAAUACCUCCAAUAAAAACAAGCACUUUGGCCCCCUUU
Molecule: long non-coding RNA, 261 nt
Organism: Eptesicus fuscus (big brown bat)
Lineage: Eukaryota; Metazoa; Chordata; Mammalia; Chiroptera; Vespertilionidae
Exons: 2
Source: RefSeq, a predicted model, not a curated record